Molecule: long non-coding RNA, 2966 nt
Organism: Gallus gallus (chicken)
Lineage: Eukaryota; Metazoa; Chordata; Aves; Galliformes; Phasianidae
Source: Ensembl
CACCAAGCAAUCAGCUUAGAUUGUCCUCUGACAGCUAACAACUAAUCAAGAUUUGUUCAGAUGGAGGUGGAUUUGGACAAAUGAGGCUGACACCUCCAAAGCAGCCAUCAUGGUCUAUAGUAGCAGUGGUGCACAUUAGCAGGCUCAAGACCACAUAUUCAUGCAUUAGACCUAGCAGUUUUAAAUGAGCUGUUAUUAUCUAUCAAAUAAUAUGUACUGUUAAGUAUGCAAAGAUAUGUCCAGAGGAGUUGUUGUGAUCUACAGCAACAACUUUAUUUCUCUUUCACUUCAACAAACUUUUUUUCUUUAAUCAAUUGCUUUUCUACUUGGUUACAUUGUUAAUAAAGAAGCACACAGCCAAUAUUGAACGGCGCACUCAGAAUUUGUGAAGCCUGCACAGAACACUAAGAAUUUGCAACUGAACUCCUUACUAAAAUCACACGCAGCAGUGAUUUCCAGGAAUGCAGUGAUGUCCAGGAAGGCACUGAUGUCCAGGAAGGACCAUAUUCCAUGGUCUUUGGAGAGAUCUUGUCGUUACUUGCCUGCUGAAUUUAGGAUCUUUGUUACCUUAAUCCUAAAUAAAACUGCUCUUAAAACGUCAUUCAAGGCCCUUUUUCAGUAUUUGUUUACCCUGAGCUGUUCUGAGGUUCUUACAAGACAUGUACACCUUUGUGCAAGUGGAAAACAUGAUUUAUUUGUAUGUCUCCUGGAUUCUUCUGUCUUGACAUGCUCCUUGAUGCAGCCUUUGAUUAUUUCAACUUAUGAACAGUCAAGAGUCCAAUGUUAAGGAAUUAUUAUACAGCAAAAAUAAUAACAAAUGAAUGAGUAGAAUUUCAGCUGUGAUCCAGAUCAGUUCUACAGAGGCUGAACCCUCCCACCAAGAUUCCAUUACAUUUGUUGCCAUGUGACAGAUGACAGCAAAAGGGCAGUCUGACAAAACUGCGUCUGACAUGGAAGUGUUUAUGAAGAACCAGUAUGGAAUUGAAUUCCUCCAUGCAGAAAAAAUGGCGCCCACUGACAUUCAUUGACACUUGCUGUAGGAUGUGAGCACAGUGAGGGGUGGACGGUGCAUUUCAGCAAUGGUGACAGCGCCAUGAAAGACAAGCCACAUUCCAGACUGCCAUGCACAGCUGUCACACCAUAAAAUGAAGAGCAUCUUGACCAACCCAUCUGAGCAAAUCAACUAAUGGUGGUGACUGUGUUGAAAAGAUAGAAUUUUUAUCUGGGAAUUACCUAUAUCAAAUAGUGUUAUUGUUCUCUUUGCACCUGCUGUAGUUUUCAUUUGUGGGUUUUAUUUUUUGUUGUUUGUUUGUUCAUUUGUUUUAAUCUUGUAUUCUGCUUCCUGUGAUUAAAAGCAAGCUGUUUACACAACGUUUAUUACUAAGCAAAGAAAGUCCUCCAUCUGAACAAAUCCAGUUGUUAUACAUGACUAUGAAACAACACAUGUUCAUAUCCAUUUCUGUACAUGUUUACAGUUCAGUGUUUCCAUCCAAUUCAUUAAACAGCUGUCUGCUCUUCUUUCAACAUUAUUUGUGCUCACAUUUACAAACCACAGGUAAUUAGAAAUAAUAUUUGAAACAAAGGCCUUUUGGGAUAUUAAUCAAUGAAAAAAAUAUUACCUGUGAGAUUUUAUAUGAUAGGCACAACUAUCAGACAGAACAUUACUCUUACUAUAUUAUUUUUGGUUUCAAGGCUUCUUAGUCAUAGUAGAAAUGCAAUAUUUUGCAGGAAAAUUCAAUACUUCAUCAGAUGCCUGAUGUAUUUUUUUAGUAUAAAUAUUACUGUGUUUAACCUCACAAUGUCUUUGGGGGAAAAAUCAGACUAAUUCAAGCACCUUUUCAAGCAACAAGGAAAUAGCAUAUGUGAUUUUCAGUGCAUAAUUCAGUCUCUCAAGUAACCCUGAGGAGAUUGAGAAGACUACCUGUAUCUUCCUUUACAGUCAAAAUUUUUCAUGGUAUCUAUAUAUCUAUUUUCCAGUAGGUAUUGCAGUCUUCAAAAAAUGGCCUUAAAUUCAUGUGCACACGAGGGAUUUUUCCUGAGAAACCAAACAUUAGGCAUAAUUGAUAAAGUGCGUGCAAACAUGACUGUGCAUUUAAAUAUGUGAAGAACUAUAACCUAAUUCCUUUUUGGUUAUUCUCUUCUAUCACGUCUUUGUUGAUAAACCACUGCAAUAUAAGUGUUGUCUGCCCUUUUUCCUUCUUUUGCCUUCAUAUAUUUUAAAAAAUGAACCAGAAGAAAUAAGUGGAAGAUAGCACAUAUGUUAGGAAAAAAUCAGAGAAGUAAGUAGGGAGAAAGAAAAUCAUAAGAGAAAUCCACAGCAGAACAAUAAUAUUCACCAUCUGUUUUCCAAACUUACCAAACUUUAAGUACAUAGCUAUGAGUAAAAGAGUCCAUUGUAGUAGGUGCUAUUGAACUUACCAAACACCAGGCUUUUAAACACAGUCAUUUUUGUUUUCCUCACAAGCUUUGGAAGUUAAACAUUUGAAUUUACAGAGCUACAACCAGUUUUAUGAGUUCAUGAUGGUUCAGUAUUUGUUUCUCUUGUAAUCUCAACUGUGAGGAAGAUUUGGGCUUUUAAAAUGACUGUUUACAAGGCAUUCAGCUUCCAGACAUUGAUGUAUUUUGCUUUCUUUCUAAUCAUCAUCCAAUCUCUUAAAUGCUUUUACAAAUUAAGCUUGAAUGCUCCUCCUGAUAUCAAAUACAGCAUAUUAUUUCUAAUGAUUCUUUCUACUCUUUGAAAUGCCACUCAACUUUUUUUUUUUACUGUAACCAUUAGAUAUAUCUAUACAAAAUAAAUAAAUGAGAAGACUAUUUCUAACAUGCAAACCUUGACACAUUUAUCAGUUAUGUUUCAACAACGUUUUAGUUGGUAAUGAAACACUCAUCUCUGUUUUCUUUAUACUAUGAUGUUGUGCCUCAUGACAGAACUUCACGAAGUUUCUUUUAACACUGUUGAUGAUAUUUCU